This 239-nucleotide long non-coding RNA is filed under the name Volvox carteri. RNAcentral describes it as "long non-coding RNA (VCAR_LNC001035)". Lineage: Eukaryota; Viridiplantae; Chlorophyta; Chlorophyceae; Chlamydomonadales; Volvocaceae. The record is from RNAcentral.
GUGUCCGUCUCGGGAUCCGCCUCGCAUAAUCCGUUGCGUUUUGUCGUACUUCCGUCGGUGAGCAGUCAUUAAGACGGCUCACAGCCCAUCAUUCGGGAUCUUUCAUUCCCACCACAUUUGUGGUGGAUUUCGACUAGGCAGGAGCAAUACAAUCUGUCUGUCUCCUUGAAGCUGCAUGGCCCUUUCCUUUUUUCUCUAUUUCCUCUAUUUCCAAGUGCCGUAUCCAUAACUGGAGAACC